This is a long non-coding RNA of Odontomachus brunneus, 2403 nucleotides long. RefSeq lists it as uncharacterized. The record is from RefSeq and is a predicted model, not a curated record. The transcript has 3 exons. NCBI's taxonomy places the organism in Eukaryota, Metazoa, Arthropoda, Insecta, Hymenoptera, Formicidae.
GUACGAGCGUUUAGUAAUCGGGAAGGAUGCGCGGGUUCUACACGAUCGUCACGCUGGUGACGGUUCUCUUCGUGAACCUCAGCUGGGGUUGGUCUUUCUCGAAUGUGGCGGUGUCUAUCGAUAAGUUGAUGCGACCGCAGGCUGAGGAGUCGCGAACUUUGAAUUUUAACAAGAACAACAGCACCUCGUCGAACAACAUCCCGGAAGUCACGGUGCAGAGUAGAAUAAUAGUAGUUCCACGAAGGACCAACGGUCGCUGUCAACCGGGCGAACAGGUCGAUCGGCGUGGCAAGUGCAGGACGGCGUGGUGAGCGAGUUCGGCGGACAAAUAGUGGGAGCAAGAAUCUUCGUAGACACCAUAGCUACUCGCUAUCAAGAAGGAGGGAUCACUUCCGGAGGGAAAUAGAGAAGGAAUAGUACUCGCAAAUUUCCGAAUAAUUCGCACAAUGGCACAUCGAAAGCCUGUACCGGGAAUAAGGCUAACACUGCAAGAAGAAGAUUAAUUUCUGUCGCUUUCGGCACCAAAUGUAUAUUUUUCGUUGUUUUGACAAGAAAGUAGUCGCAAUAAUACGCAUAUAAAUUUAUUAUACUUUUUUAACGUUAAGUGACACUACAUCUACUAUAAAAAUGUUUUUUUUUGCUGACUAUAAUUCGCCGUGCGAUUAUAGUCACAAUUGCCAGAUACUUAUUUCGUAGUGGACCAAUUGAUGCUAAUUGCGCAAGAUCUGUAGUCGGAAUUGAAUCUUUAACUGUAGACAUUCGUGGAAACGAUCAUGAUAUAGAGAUCACAUCUGGGUCGCGUCGAGAAAAGAAACUGCAAUCUGUUUUAUUCGUAACUUCAACGUCAGUUCAUUUCGCAUAACUAUAAACAGAUUGACACUGAGGACGUAUAAUUUGUAGCGAAACGAAUUGCGGAAGUAUGAAAAUAUUUAAUAUAUCAAAGUACAACUUUUAAGUAGGUACAAUUAGUCUGCGCGUGAGACAAAUUAAAUCAAUUGAAAAUCCAAUAAUUAAAAAAUAUACUUACGUCAAUGAAUAAAUGAAUAAAACACAGAGAUCAACAUAAUUAGUCAUAGUCAUAUUAUUAGAUUUACUUGGAAACAUGUUGAUGGCGACAUAUUUUCCGACGAGUUUCGUAACGCAUUCAGUAUCUAACAGAAGAAUUGCUUUGCAAUGAUCCUUAGAAAAUACGUUUUCUUAUUAAAUUUCUUAUUAAAUGCUGGAAGUGCGCUUCAAUACUAAUCGAAAGGAAACUGAAGUGCUAUUAUGGUUCUUCCUUAGAUUUAUGGUAUUUCAGUUAUUUCCCAGAUUUAUUUUUAGAUGUGUAUUUUGUAGAGAAAACGGGAUUAUUCCAAUUGGAGAAUUCAUCCCGAACAAGUCCAUAAUAGCAGCCGUCGAUUUGCUUUCGAGUUUGCACAUACCAUAUAUAUGCUGACGGUAUAAGAAAUUGUAGUGACUGCGUGCUAAGGCGUGUACGUCACUCUAUGUAUACAAUAAGAUCGCAUGUGCAUACUUAAUGGUUUUAGAUCAAAUCAAAAUACAUUGAAUGUAUAAUUGACACAUAAUAUAUAUUCGUAUGUGUACAUGUAAAAUUGUUACUGAUAUCGAUAAAAUAGAUGAAAUGCCACAUUGUGAUACGUAUAGUGUUCAUUUUACCAUCCAAUUCAAUAUUAAUUCAUGAAGCAAAGUUUAUUCUUCACAUAUACACGGCGUGCAAACAUUCCUAAUGAUUUAUCGCGUUGCGGAAGUUUUUGACGUAAUGUAGAAGACGUAAGCGAUCAAAUCUGUACAUGAGCAACCGCCAAUUAAGGGUAAAAGUAGAAGGAUACAGGAAACCACAUAGAUGAAAGCCUAGCUCGUAUAUAAACACACGUAUCAUGACCGUCACAAGGGCCAGUCAUUAAUUAGCGCGUUAAUGUAACUAUCGCGUCGCUGCGAGAAGUGCUGAAGAGCGUACGACAAUUCAUUAGAUCCUAUUCGCUACUGGAAUUAAGUUGGAGAGAAUUCGAAAGAAAGUACGAAUAUCGUUUAUAACAAUGGCACCGGCGCGUCUGUUACUGCUGAUUUUCGUGUCAUUGAUGUUGGUAUUCGCGAACGAGGGAAUGCCGCUGACUUUCCCAAAGAGAACCCGGCCGCAAUCGAAAUGUCCACCAGGCUAUAGGUACACUCGUACCGGCUGCAGAGAAAUUUUGACGUAUUGAAAAAGUAAGAAUGGAGUACAAAGGCCACGAGAUGCAGUUUUUUCAAAGAUGCUGGAUUAACGAUAAGCAAUAUCAAAACAUUAUAAUAAGACGAUUUCUUUUUUUUAAUUAUAAUGUAUCAAUUACAAAUACAUAAUAUAAAGUAGAAUAAUUUUUGUCAAUCAUGUUUAUAUAUCUAUAAACGAUAAAAACGAAAUUUAAA